UACAGAGGGUGCGAGCGUUAAUCGGAAUUACUGGGCGUAAAGCGUGCGUAGACGGCUAUCUAAGUCGGGUGUGAAAGCCCCGGGCUCAACCUGGGAAUUGCAUUCGAGACUGAAUAGCUAGGGUACGGUAGAGGGAAGCGGAAUUUCCGGUGUAGCGGUGAAAUGCGUAGAUAUCGGAAGGAACAUCAGUGGCGAAGGCGGCUGCCUGGCCCAAUACUGACACUCAGGUGCGACAGCGUGGGGAGCAAACAGG
This 253-nucleotide ribosomal RNA is filed under the name uncultured bacterium. RNAcentral describes it as "partial 16S ribosomal RNA". It matches the Rfam family "Bacterial small subunit ribosomal RNA", at positions 524 to 776 of the family's 1533-position model. The record is from RNAcentral.